Molecule: long non-coding RNA, 1070 nt
Organism: Aphis gossypii (cotton aphid)
Lineage: Eukaryota; Metazoa; Arthropoda; Insecta; Hemiptera; Aphididae
Exons: 4
Source: RefSeq, a predicted model, not a curated record
UUUAAAUAAAAAAUAAAUAAUUUAAACAAAAUAUUUAAUUUUUUAUUAUUUAAUUUUAAUAUUAUAAACCUAUUUUCAUAGAUUACUUAUGGUGUGUGUACCACACAGCUGCUGGUCGGUUGUGCGCGGGAACGUGUUAUCACAUCACCUACAAAUGACGUCGCAACAGGCACAAAUAGUAUCAAAGAACUAGCACAGUAUAAACAAAGAAUAAAUAAGAAUAAAGUAUGAACCAAGGAUAUGAACUAUGAAUCUCUUUUCUAUGUAUGAAGUCGCAUUGUCUAUCGAUAAGGUUAAUCGAACGGCGGUUUUAGACGAACUGUUAUCACGGUUCAUUCCGUAAUAAACACACGGGUAGAAAAAAAAAUGUUAAAUACAUUUUUGGAAUGAUCUUCUGUACUCUGUCAGGCAUGUGCAGACGUACUGUGCGCCAGUAGACCAGAGAGAGUUUGUGUGUGUGCUUUCAUUAUUACCACUAAUGUCACUGAUAACUCAGAAUCACUUGAAAUUUUCAACCUCAACAUCAAACAAGGUGUUAUCAUCAUCACAUUUGGAUUAGAUCAGUUCUGAUGAAAGAUGACAGUUAAGAUGGAUAAGCAAUAAGGGAUUAGACUGUUAUUGACAUAAAUAACACUACCAAAGAAUAUGAUAUGUAUCAGAAAUUUUAUUAACUGUAAGGAUGGUGGUGAACAAAAUUUAAUCAUAUCUGUUUUAGAUGACAAGAAGAAACCUAAACCACGCAUAAUAACGCACUAAUUGACCAUCAUGUCAUGUGUCUAACAUAUAAAAAUAUAGCGGACAACCUCAACCGCAAGAAACAGAAACCAAAGAAAUAACCUAUUAAGCAGCACAAAUAAAACAAAUACAUCAGCCUCGAAACAUGGAACCUAACUAACAAAGCAGACUCAACAGUCAAAAUAACACAACGAAUAUAAUAUUAUACUAUUAAUACAAAACCGAUAAAAUUAUAUUUACAUUAAAACCAGACAUAGUUAUGAAUCAAAUUAAAAAAAAAAAAAAAACAUUUAGCCAAUAGUUAAAACAUAAAAUUUAAUUCAAACUAAAACAUA